This 697-nucleotide ribosomal RNA is filed under the name uncultured Entophlyctis. RNAcentral's name for it is "eukaryotic LSU rRNA". It matches the Rfam family "Eukaryotic large subunit ribosomal RNA", at positions 87 to 618 of the family's 3401-position model. The record is from RNAcentral. Lineage: Eukaryota; Fungi; Chytridiomycota; Chytridiomycetes; Chytridiales; Chytriomycetaceae.
CGGCGAGUGAAGCGGGACCAGCUCAAAUUUGGAAUCAAUAUCUCAUAGAGAGAUUGAAUUGUAGUUUAGAGAAGCGAGUAAUUCCGGUAAAUGGCAAGCGGCCCAAGUCCCAUUGAAGAGGGCAUCAAAGAGGGUGUUAAUCCCGUCCAGAGCCGCUUAAAAAAGCCAAUAACCAAAUGCGAUGCGCUUUCCAAGAGUCGGUUUGUUUGGGAAUGCAGACCAAAAAGGGUGGUAAACACCAUCUAAAGCUAAAUAUAGGCGAGAGACCGAUAGCGAACAAGUACCGUGAGGGAAAGAUGAAAAGCACUUUGAAAAGAGAGUCAAAAGCACGUGAAAUUGUCAAAAGGGAGACGCUUGGGAGCAGUAGUGGCGAAAAAGGAGGAGAGGUUCAUAAGAUGUAGUAAUGUGGAGUAAAAACCAUAAACUGAUUUUAGCAUUCCAAUUCCUCCCUCUCCAGUCAGAAUCAGUUUAGAAUGUGUGAAAAGCAAUGAGUUUAGCAUCAGGUAGCGCAAUUUUUAACAGAAUAGUGUGAUAUAGAAGCAAGAACCCAAUUGAUUUGCAAGCAUUGACUAGACUGAGGAAAGCAGAGUCGCGAGUGCCAAGUGUAGGAAAAUGUUAGUUGGAAUGGAGUAUGUGACUGCAAGUCAGAUGCAAGCAUCAUUAACCCUAACAAACAAUUCAACAAAUGGACACCAAU